RNAcentral lists this long non-coding RNA (600 nucleotides) under Elaeis guineensis (African oil palm). Its description in RNAcentral is "long non-coding RNA (EGUI_LNC047876)". Lineage: Eukaryota; Viridiplantae; Streptophyta; Magnoliopsida; Arecales; Arecaceae. The record is from RNAcentral.
UGGAUCCCAUCAAUUUCUCAUUAUCCAAUAGUGAUCAGAGUGACAAAUUUGAGGUCAUAACUACAUAAAAAAAAAAUCAAAACCUAAUCAGUAUAUGAAUUAAUUAAGUCAAAAGAUAUGGACUUUAGUCUAAUGGUUCUCCCACUAUUUUAUAUGAAUUGGUAGCCUCUACCUUCAAUUUGAGGGAUUACUUCAAUUUUUUAGUGGGUACUAGAAUCCACACAGAUUGCACACAAGUCCGACUUUGGCCAGCUCACCCAUGUGUAUCUAUGGGUAGGUUCUUUAAUCAAUUAUUUUAUCAAAUAAUUUUUAGUAAUUGAUUUAGCCUCAAGUUACAUUUCAAUUGACUUUGAUCUUCUCUACAAGCCCUGGUUAGGUCCAAUUAUUAACAUGAUCAUACUUAGGAAUCUAACUAUCAAAUGAUCAGAUCUGACUAUGACUAGCUAACCUGACCACUUGCUAGAAAGUCUUGACUGAGUCAUCAUAUUAUGAAUGACAAUUUCAAUAGCAGAUGAGCACCAGGCCUUUGGGCCUUCAAUGAUCAUCAUACUAAUGGAUCUAUUAUCAUCCAACUUAAUGAGAGGCUAUGAUUUAGUUAUC